GCUCAUCCUGCGGCGGUAUCCUGGUGAAUGGACAGCUGCUCCCUUAGACUCUCAUUCGUUACCUGAAGAGGCCCUGUGGGCGUUUGCAUUUUCACCCUCGACCUAUUCUGCCCCAGCCUCCAAUGUGCUAAAUACAAGUCUCCCCUAAAGGCUGGGUGGAGAAGGAGACAUACUACUGACCCCAUUGGAAGAAGAACCAGGCAUGGAAAGAUGGGGAGCUCUGGAGGUGUUGUGGGGAUGGUGAUGGAGAGGGAUGGAAAUAACGGGUGGCAUUGGGUGGCAACAUUUGGGGAGAGAUAAUGAGGCAACUCAGCAGGCUAAGUUGCGGGGUAUAUAAAUUGGGGUGAUGACCCCAUAGACCUAACUGUGAACAAUCAGAUUAGACACUAUGUGUUAGAGUCCCCCCCACCAGAUCCUUUUCCAUCCCACUCCACUAUGUUGUCUAUUUUUUCUGAGGAAUUAAGGGUUACCCCACCCUGCCCACUCCCAUCCCUUCAACCCCACUUCCUACUGUAAUAGAUCAGCAUCCAAAAGCAGGAACCCAUCUAAACCAGAAGGAAGCCCUCUCAGAUCACCCCAGCCUCACUCCAUUUCCCACUUCCACCCCCGUUAGCUUCCUGCAGGACUCUAUCCC
RNAcentral lists this small RNA (634 nucleotides) under Pan troglodytes (chimpanzee). RNAcentral's name for it is "processed transcript". The record is from RNAcentral. Lineage: Eukaryota; Metazoa; Chordata; Mammalia; Primates; Hominidae.